RNAcentral lists this ribosomal RNA (468 nucleotides) under uncultured bacterium. RNAcentral describes it as "partial 16S ribosomal RNA". It matches the Rfam family "Bacterial small subunit ribosomal RNA", at positions 28 to 507 of the family's 1533-position model. The record is from RNAcentral.
GACGAACGCUGGCGGCGUGCUUAACACAUGCAAGUCGAACGGUGAUGCUCCAGCUUGCUGGAGUGGAUCAGUGGCGAACGGGUGAGUAACACGUGAGCAACCUGCCCCAGACUCUGGAAUAAGCGCUGGAAACGGCGUCUAAUACUGGAUACGAAACUGGCCCGCAUGGGCAUGGUUUGGAAAGUUCUUCGGUUUGGGAUGGGCUCGCGGCCUAUCAGCUUGUUGGUGAGGUAAUGGCUCACCAAGGCGACGACGGGUAGCCGGCCGGAGAGGGCGACCGGCCACACUGGGACUGAGACACGGCCCAGACGCCUACGGGAGGCAGCAGUGGGGAAUAUUGCACAAUGGGCGAAAGCCUGAUGCAGCGACGCCGCGUGAGGGAUGACGGCCUUCGGGUUGUAAACCUCUUUCAGCAGGGAAGAAGCGAAAGUGACGGUACCUGCAGAAGAAGCACCGGCUAACUACGUG